AUGAAUGAGAUUUUAGCAUUGAUUUCUUUUGAAGCUCCCUCCAUCAAGCCAAUUAUGAUUGUACCAUUCAGCACAAGACCAUCAGGCUGCUUCCAUGGAAUGGUUAAUGCAACAAAAACUGGGCAGUUAACUACACUUCAUGCUGCUGAAAUAGGGGCAUCAAAUGAGUUUACUCACUUGUUGGUUGACGGAAUUAUUAAACCUCCCCCAUCUUUGCAAAUACGCAGUGAACCAAUACAAUGUUUGCUGGAAAUGGUGUGGGUAUUGAAGAUACCCUUUGUUCUUCUUGUCACAUCAGGUGGGCAACACCAAGGUAAAAGUUCUUCAGACUCUGACCUUGAGGUGCUGCAGUGCGUGGGAGAUCACCUAGCCAAGCACAUCAACUUGGAGUUCUCCAAAGAAACUGUCAUUGAGACAGGGGUUGAGAAAUCCGCAAGCAUUCGAGAACCCUGGCGCGAACUGUAUCUGUGA
RNAcentral lists this ribosomal RNA (471 nucleotides) under Triticum aestivum (bread wheat). RNAcentral's name for it is "partial small subunit ribosomal RNA". The record is from RNAcentral. Lineage: Eukaryota; Viridiplantae; Streptophyta; Magnoliopsida; Poales; Poaceae.